ACUUUACCAUGCGGGCAACCGUGAUAAGGAAACCCCGAGUGCCAGCACAGGCUGGCUGUCCACCAGUGUAAAUAACUGGUGAAGAAAGGGCCGGGCAAGGCCGGUGCCAGCCGCCGCGGUAAUACCGGCGGCUCGAGUGGUGGCCGCUAUUACUGGGCUUAAAGGGUCCGUAGCUGGAUAUACAAGUCCCUUGAGAAAUCCGCCGGCUUAACCGGUGGGCGUUCAGGGGAAACUGUAUUUCUAGGGACCGGGAGAGGUGAGAGGUACUGCCGGGGUAGGAGUGAAAUCCUGUAAUCCCGGUGGGACCACCUAUGGCGAAGGCAUCUCACCAGAACGGGUCCGACAGUGAG
Molecule: ribosomal RNA, 350 nt
Filed under: uncultured archaeon
Lineage: Archaea
Description: bacterial SSU rRNA
Rfam family: Archaeal small subunit ribosomal RNA
Source: RNAcentral